CUACGGGAGGCAGCAGUGAGGAAUAUUGGGCAAUGGAGCAAGUCUGAUCCAGCCAUGCCGCGUGCGGAAGACGGCCCUAUGGGUUGUAAACUGCUUUUAUACGGAAAAAAACACCCCUAGGAGAAGAUUGACGGGACCGUACGAAUAAGGACCGGCUAACUCCGUGCCAGCAGCCGCGGUAAU
RNAcentral lists this ribosomal RNA (183 nucleotides) under uncultured Mariniflexile sp. RNAcentral's name for it is "partial 16S ribosomal RNA". It matches the Rfam family "Bacterial small subunit ribosomal RNA", at positions 339 to 524 of the family's 1533-position model. The record is from RNAcentral. Lineage: Bacteria; Pseudomonadati; Bacteroidota; Flavobacteriia; Flavobacteriales; Flavobacteriaceae.